RNAcentral lists this unclassified non-coding RNA (359 nucleotides) under soil metagenome. Its description in RNAcentral is "partial contains 5.8S ribosomal RNA, internal transcribed spacer 2, and large subunit ribosomal RNA". The stretch from base 1 to 120 matches the Rfam family "5.8S ribosomal RNA", at positions 35 to 154 of the family's 154-position model. The record is from RNAcentral.
GAUGAAGAACGUAGCGAAAUGCGAUAAGUAAUGCGAAUUGCAGAAUUCAGUGAAUCAUCGAAUCUUUGAACGCACAUUGCGCCCGCCAGUAUUCUGGCGGGCAUGCCUGUCUGAGCGUCGUUUCGACCCUCGCGCCCGGCUUCUGUCGGGGGCGGUGUUGGGGAUCGGCCACACCCUUCAGUGGGAGGCCGGCCCCUAAAUUCAGUGGCGACCACGCUGUAGCCUCCCCUGCGUAGUACUAAAACCACCUCGCAGGCGGAGAGCGGUGCGGCCCGCCGUAAAACCCCCCAACUUUUACAAGGUCGACCUCAGAUCAGGUAGGAAUACCCGCUGAACUUAAGCAUAUCAUAAGCGGAGGA